CGGCGUGCCUAAUACAUGCAAGUCGAGCGAGCGGAACUAACAGAUUUACUUCGGUAAUGACGUUAGGAAAGCGAGCGGCGGAUGGGUGAGUAACACGUGGGGAACCUGCCCCAUAGUCUGGGAUACCACUUGGAAACAGGUGCUAAUACCGGAUAAGAAAGCAGAUCGCAUGAUCAGCUUUUAAAAGGCGGCGUAAGCUGUCGCUAUGGGAUGGCCCCGCGGUGCAUUAGCUAGUUGGUAAGGUAAAGGCUUACCAAGGCGAUGAUGCAUAGCCGAGUUGAGAGACUGAUCGGCCACAUUGGGACUGAGACACGGCCCAAACUCCUACGGGAGGCAGCAGUAGGGAAUCUUCCACAAUGGACGCAAGUCUGAUGGAGCAACGCCGCGUGAGCGAAGAAGGUUUUCGGAUCGUAAAGCUCUGUUGUUGGUGAAGAAGGAUAGAGGUAGUAACUGGCCUUUAUUUGACGGUAAUCAACCAGAAAGUCACGGCUAACUACGUGCCAGCAGCCGCGGUAAUACGUAGGUGGCAAGCGUUGUCCGGAUU
This 544-nucleotide ribosomal RNA is filed under the name Lactobacillus crispatus. RNAcentral's name for it is "bacterial SSU rRNA". It matches the Rfam family "Bacterial small subunit ribosomal RNA", at positions 40 to 551 of the family's 1533-position model. The record is from RNAcentral. Lineage: Bacteria; Bacillati; Bacillota; Bacilli; Lactobacillales; Lactobacillaceae.